AGAAUCAAAGCUGGCGGCGUGCCUAACACAUGCAAGUCGAACGCGAAAGUCCCGCAAGGGAUAAGUAGAGUGGCAAACGGGUGAGUAACACGUGGGUGACCUGCCUUCGAGCGGGGGAUAACGUCCCGAAAGGGACGCUAAUACCGCAUAACAUCCUGUCCUUGAACGGAUGGAGAUCAAAGCCGGGGAUCGUAAGACCUGGCGUUUGAAGAGGGGCCCGCGUCCGAUUAGCUAGUUGGUGAGGUAACGGCUCACCAAGGCGACGAUCGGUAGCC
RNAcentral lists this ribosomal RNA (275 nucleotides) under uncultured bacterium. Its description in RNAcentral is "partial small subunit ribosomal RNA". It matches the Rfam family "Bacterial small subunit ribosomal RNA", at positions 26 to 288 of the family's 1533-position model. The record is from RNAcentral.